GGGCCCAUGGUCCAGUGGCUAUGACGUCACCCUUACACGGUGAAGAUCCAGGGUUCAAAUCCCUGUGGGCCCA
This 73-nucleotide transfer RNA is filed under the name Nitrosopumilales archaeon. RNAcentral describes it as "tRNA-Val". It matches the Rfam family "tRNA". Rfam says of the family: Transfer RNA (tRNA) molecules are approximately 80 nucleotides in length. Their secondary structure includes four short double-helical elements and three loops (D, anti-codon, and T loops). RNAcentral also lists the same sequence under 3 other names. The record is from RNAcentral. Lineage: Archaea; Thermoproteati; Nitrososphaerota; Nitrososphaeria; Nitrosopumilales.